UACAGAGGUCUCAAGCGUUGUUCGGAUUCAUUGGGCGUAAAGGGUGCGUAGGCGGCGCGGUAAGUCGGGCGUGAAAUCUCGGAGCUUAACUCCGAAACUGCAUUCGAUACUGCUGUGCUUGAGGACUGGAGAGGAGACUGGAAUUUACGGUGUAGCGGUGAAAUGCGUAGAUAUCGUAAGGAAGACCAGUGGCGAAGGCGGGUCUCUGGACAGUUCCUGACGCUGAGGCACGAAGGUCAGGGGAGCAAACGGG
RNAcentral lists this ribosomal RNA (253 nucleotides) under uncultured bacterium. RNAcentral's name for it is "partial 16S ribosomal RNA". It matches the Rfam family "Bacterial small subunit ribosomal RNA", at positions 524 to 776 of the family's 1533-position model. The record is from RNAcentral.